CAGAGUUCCUGCCCUCACGGGUAGAAACCCCACCCUUGUAUAUUAUAUAUUGUUGCUUUGGCGGGCCGCCCUCACGGGCACCGGCUCACGCUGGCUCGCGCCCGCCGAAGGACCCCAAACUCUUGUUUUAUACAGUAUCUUCUGAGUAACACGAUUAAAUAAAUCA
RNAcentral lists this unclassified non-coding RNA (166 nucleotides) under uncultured Roesleria. RNAcentral's name for it is "sequence contains ITS1". Lineage: Eukaryota; Fungi; Ascomycota; Leotiomycetes; Helotiales. The record is from RNAcentral.